GACCCAGUGGCGGACGGUUCGCAUCCGCACCGUGUUAAUAUCAGCACUUCUACUGCAACAGCGGGAGGGCCUGGUUCGACUCCAGGCUGGGUCA
Molecule: non-coding RNA, 94 nt
Organism: Mycena epipterygia
Lineage: Eukaryota; Fungi; Basidiomycota; Agaricomycetes; Agaricales; Mycenaceae
Source: the annotation of a GenBank genome assembly